RNAcentral lists this long non-coding RNA (2717 nucleotides) under Cinara cedri. Lineage: Eukaryota; Metazoa; Arthropoda; Insecta; Hemiptera; Aphididae. The record is from RNAcentral.
UGAAUCAGAUUUAGGUUAAACACUUUGCGUGAAAACUACUAAGAACCGUUCAUCACAGUUUCAGUACCUCAAACUCGAAUAAAAUUCGCAUACGUAUUAUCCAGCAGAAACAUACUCUUUAAACUCUUCAAUGCCACGAACACAAUCUCAAGCAUAAGAAAUAUCGGACAUCUCAAAGGCGACAAACUCCAACAUAACAAAUAAGACAUUACAAUCUCUGACAUAUCUCUUUACAGAAGGGCCAAAAGAUUAUUUGUUAACAGAAAUUUGAAGCGGUUUACUUUUACAUUGAAAUAAAUAAAGCAUCCUUUUGUAACUUUAAAGGUUCAAAAGCAUUAUUUCUAGUAUAUAUGCAUUCAGAAUAAGAAAUGCCAUUAAGAUUUAACGUUUUAUCAGGGGACUUAUGUUUUAAAAACUAUUCAAAACACAUGAAUUAAAUUCGCGUUCAAAAUUAUAUAGUUAUUUACGCAUGAAUUGUACAUCAAGUUUUUUAAAGUUAUUAGUUAGAGAUCUAUGGUUUCACAGAUUACAGAAAAGUAACAUGGACAUAUUGCACUUUGAAUACUAUGCCCAAGGACCUUAAUAGGAAUAAUCGUAGUAAUCAUGGAUACAAUGUUGAACCAUGCAAAAAAAUCCGCGGAGAUUAUGAAAUUCCGAUUAGAAAAACCAUCGACUAAUUAACCGUAGGUUUCAAUAUUUACUUAAGGUAAGUUACAAUAUUGCAAAUCAUAAAAUUGAUAAAUUCCAAGUUUUACGACUGAUCGUUGAAUAUUUUCAGUAAGUUGUUACGUUUAAAUUCUCAGAUGACUAAACAUAACUGCGAACUAAGCUGAAAAAAAUUUAUAUUUUUUGUUUUGUUUUGUUCUUUUUCAUUGGGUGAAAAGUGGACAACAAAUUUUCUUUUAGGACGACAAUGGCCUUGAUAACACUUAUAGGCACUAGGCCACGGACGACGUGCCAGGUAGCUCCGAGCGCCAGUAUUGAACAUUAAAAGUUGACCCAUAUCUACUCACGGCAUUAGAAAUUAUUGUACGGCUUAUUUUAUCAUUUUCAGUAAAAAUAAGAAGACUGUAAACACCGUUAUAUUAUCGAUGAAUAUAGAAAUCUUAUCGAUAAAUGUGAUAACUUAAACAAGAAUCAUUUCAACUGUGGAUAUCCAUAAUUCUAGGAUGUUUUCCACAUUGAAUCAUUCGAGAAAAGUUAAGUGAGGCCCAAUAUUGUUGCUCACCCUUUGGGGAAACGUGAAACAGAUUUAGGUUAAACACUAUGUGUGCAAACUACUAAGAACCGUUCAUCACAUUUACGGUACCACAAACUCGAAUAAAAUUCGCAUACGUAUUAUCCAGCAGAAACAUACUCUUUAAACUCUUCAAUGCCACGAACACAAUCUCAAGCAUAAGAAAUAUCGGACAUCUCAAAGGCGACAAACUCCAACAUAACAAAUAAGACAUUACAAUCUCUGACAUAUCUCUUUACAGAAGGGCCAAAAGAUUAUUUGUUAACAGAAAUUUGAAGCGGUUUACUUUUACAUUGAAAUAAAUAAAGCAUCCUUUUGUAACUUUAAAGGUUCAAAAGCAUUAUUUCUAGUAUAUAUGCAUUCAGAAUAAGAAAUGCCAUUAAGAUUUAACGUUUUAUCAGGGGACUUAUGUUUUAAAAACUAUUCAAAACACAUGAAUUAAAUUCGCGUNCCAACAUAACAAAUAAGACAUUACAAUCUCUGACAUAUCUCUUUACAGAAGGGCCAAAAGAUUAUUUGUUAACAGAAAUUUGAAGCGGUUUACUUUUACAUUGAAAUAAAUAAAGCAUCCUUUUGUAACUUUAAAGGUUCAAAAGCAUUAUUUCUAGUAUAUAUGCAUUCAGAAUAAGAAAUGCCAUUAAGAUUUAACGUUUUAUCAGGGGACUUAUGUUUUAAAAACUAUUCAAAACACAUGAAUUAAAUUCGCGUUCGAAAUUAUAUAGUUAUAUACGCAUGAAUUGUACAUCAAGUUUUUUAAAGUUAUUAGUUAGAUAUCUAUGGAUUCAUAGAUUAUAGGAAAGGAACAUGGACAUAGAGCACUUGGAAUACUAUGCCAAAAGACCAUAAUAAGAAUAAUCGUAGUAAUCAUGGAUACAAUGUUGAACCAUGCAAAAAAAUCCGCGGAGACUAUGAAAUUCCGAUUAGAAAAACCAUCGACUAAUUAACCGUAGGUUUAAAUAUUUACUUUAGGUAAGUUACAAUAUUGCAAAUCAUAAAAUUGAUAAAUUCCAAGUUUUACGACUGAUCGUUGAAUAUUUUCAGUAAGUUGUUACGUUUAAAUUCUCAGAUGACUAAACAUAACUGCGAACUAAGCUGAAAAAAAUUUAUAUUUUUUGUUUUGUUUUGUUUUUUUUCAUUGGGCGAAAGUGGACAACAAAUUUUCUUUAAGGACGACAAUGGCCUUGAUAACACUUAUAGGCACCAGGCCACGGACCACGUGCCAGGUUUUACGACUGAUCGUUGAAUAUUUUCAGUAAGUUGUUACGUUUAAAUUCUCAGAUGACUAAACAUAACUGCGAAACCAGCCGAAAAAAAUGUAUAUUUGUUGUUUUGUUUAUUUGUUUUUCAUUGUGUGAAUAGUGGACAACAAAUUUGCUUUAAGGACGACAAUGGCCUUGAUAACACUUAUAGGCACUAGGCCACGGACGACGUGCCAGGUAGCUCCGAGCGCCAGUAUUGAACAUUAAAAGUUGACCCAUAU